UGGGCCACAUUGGUUAAAGAGCUGUUACAGGGACCCUAAAACUUUGAUAGCUAUUGCAAAAGAGCUAUUGCAAGGGUCCCAUAGGCUAAAAAGCUAUUUCAAGAGGCACUAUAAAAACUAUUCUGAGGGCCACAUACAUUGCAGUCACAUUCUGGGGGAUCAUAGAUUUAAAAAAAAAAAGGGAAUAUAGAAUACAAAUUAUUCAAGGCGCUUCCCUACUAGAUGGCAGCCAUGUUUUGUUUUACUGUUUAUUACUCGUGCCAUUUUAAUGUCACAUUUUCUUUCUUUUUUUUUUUCAAUAAUACAAUGUAAUCCUGUGCUUCCCUAUCUGAGUGGCCUGGUAAGCAGGGUCCUGAAGGACUAAUGGAGGUUUCUCUGUGCCUUCCUGUAAAUGCAAAAGUAAUGGUUCUACACGCGUCUCCAACUUGUGGCUCUCACAUUGUUAUGACACUACAACUCCCAGCAAACCCUGACAGAUGCAGGCACAAAGACAAUCAAAGUGAGAUCACCUAUGUUAUGCUCCACCCCCUAGGACCCAAAACUCAUAAAGAACAAAUUUAGCAAUUAUUAUUAAUAUAAGUACUAAUAGAAAAUGAAAUAAAAUUUUAUGAAAUUACAAUAAAGAAAUAUCAAAUAAUUUUAAACAAAUGACUCAUUACUAAUUGAACUCAUCAAUUCAAGAAAUUAUACAAGGAUUCAAUCAAGUCAUUGCAAUUAUUUAUUAAGUAAAAUAAUACAUUUAUUAUUAAAUACAUUCUUAUUAAUAUCUACAAUAAGUUUUAAAAUGUUUAGAAAAAUAUUCUCAGACAUUUAAAUAAAAUGAUAAAAGAGCAAAUAAAUAGCAUGAUAAACAAUCUCGGCAAUGCCGCACUUUGGCCCAUGGCUGUAAUGAUGUCCUUUUUUCUUCUCCUUAUAUACAGCCUAAUCCUUGUGUAUUAUGUCAGGUUGACAAGACCGCAACACAACUACAUAUUAUUUUCAUCUUUUUUUUAUUUUCAUGUCACGAAUGCCGGUGCAUAGAGGGGGCCAGACACUGCUGAGCAUUGGGGGCUGUACACAAGACCAUGAUGUCGUAUAACAGCAAUGGGCAAUCACCUAGUACCAGUUAUGGCUUUGCAGGUAGUGUGGAUCUCUAUAUAUCAUGCAGGAGGGGUGGGGGAGGUGUCUGGGGAUCCAGGCAUGAAUUGACAAUCCUGAGGCUGGAAUAUUGGAUAAAAUAACAUUAUCGAUGAGGAGAAUAGGGUGAUUUGCAUCCGAAAUGACUAUGGGGACACGGUUGCUCUGAGAUGGACAUACUUGGAGUAUUUAGCGGAGCAGUACGGUAUAUUUUUGAUCAAUGUUGGGGUCUUCCAAAAAGGUUGUGUGUGGCGUCUUCAUGAGAGGAUAAGUGGUUGUAUGCCUCCAGAAGGGAAUUGCUGCUUGAGAAGAACGUGUUUGGGGUUUAAUGUGGGGGACAUAUAUAAUCCUCUCUGCUUGUCCUGAACAAGAAGGUCCCAUCAUCCUCCAAUCAGUAAGAAACCAGAACUUGAAAGCAGAAAAUCUCUCUGGAAAAAAAAAAAAUAAAUCUCUUUAACUGGGUCAUCUGUGCAGGGAAGGGUUUAAAAACUGAAUCUCAAUCCGAGGCAGCGAAGGGAGAAUUUGCUGUAAAUGGCGACUCUUUGGAUCACAGCAUCGAUGUAACCCUUUAAUCACAAGAUAAUAGAAGAAACUGUGAAAAUAAAAUUAUUUC
Long non-coding RNA from Hyla sarda, 1729 nucleotides. RefSeq lists it as uncharacterized. The transcript is spliced from 3 exons. The record is from RefSeq and is a predicted model, not a curated record. Lineage: Eukaryota; Metazoa; Chordata; Amphibia; Anura; Hylidae.